AGAACGAACGCUGGCGGCGUGCUUACACAUGCAAGUCGAACGCGAAAGCUUUCUUCGGAAAGCGAGUAGAGUGGCGCACGGGUGAGUAACGCGUAAGUAAUCUGCCCUGGCAUUCGGAAUAACCCACCGAAAGGUGUGCUAAUACCGGAUACGUCUGAUUUAAUCUCAUUAUAUCAGAGAAAGGUAGCCUCUGAAUCAAGCUACCGUGCAAGGAGGAGCUUGCGUACCAUAUAGCUGGUUGGUAGGGUAACGGCCUACCAAGGCGACGAUGGUUAGCGGGUCUGAGAGGAUGAUCCGCCACACUGGAACUGAAACACGGACCAGACUCCUACGGGAGGCAGCAGUGAGGAAUAUUGCGCAAUGGGGGCAACCCUGACGCAGCGACGCCGCGUGGAUGAUGAAGGCCUUCGGGUUGUAAAAUCCUGUCAGAUGGGAAGAAAUGUACCGGUUAUUAAGAGUGAUCGUAUUUGACGGUACCAUCAAAGGAAGCACCGGCUAACUCCGUGC
This 507-nucleotide ribosomal RNA is filed under the name uncultured organism. Its description in RNAcentral is "bacterial SSU rRNA". It matches the Rfam family "Bacterial small subunit ribosomal RNA", at positions 26 to 508 of the family's 1533-position model. The record is from RNAcentral.